Molecule: ribosomal RNA, 425 nt
Filed under: uncultured bacterium
Lineage: Bacteria
Description: bacterial SSU rRNA
Rfam family: Bacterial small subunit ribosomal RNA
Source: RNAcentral
UGGGGAAUAUUGGACAAUGGGCGAAAGCCUGAUCCAGCGACGCCGCGUGUGUGAAGAAGGCCUGCGGGUUGUAAAGCACUUUCGAUGGGAACGAAAUGUGCCGGGCUAAUACCCCGGCAAGCUGACGUUACUCAAUGAAGAAGCACCGGCUAACUCUGUGCCAGCAGCCGCGGUAAUACAGAGGGUGCGAGCGUUAAUCGGAAUUACUGGGCGUAAAGCGCACGUAGGUGGCGACGUAAGUCGGGUGUGAAAGCCCCGGGCUCAACCUGGGAAUUGCAUUCGAGACUGCAUUGCUGGAGUACGGAAGAGGAAGGCGGAAUUCCCGGUGUAGCGGUGAAAUGCGUAGAUAUCGGGAGGAACAUCAGUGGCGAAGGCGGCCUUCUGGUCCAGUACUGACACUCAAGUGCGAAAGCGUGGGGAGCAAA